GUUAGGAAUAUUGGGCAAUGGGCGAAAGCCUGACCCAGCCACGCCGCGUGAGUGAUGAAGGCCUUCGGGUUGUAAAGCUCUGUGGGGAGGGAAGAAAAAGCGGGAGAGUAACUGCUCUCGUGUUGACGGUACCUCCUUAGCAAGCACCGGCUAACUCUGUGCCAGCAGCCGCGGUAAUACAGAGGGUGCAAACGUUGCUCGGAAUUACUGGGCGUAAAGCGCGUGUAGGCUGACAUGCAAGUCGGGUGUGAAAUCCCAGGGCUCAACCUUGGAACUGCACUCGAAACUGCACGUCUUGAGUACUGGAGAGGGAAGCGGAAUUCCGGGUGUAGAGGUGAAAUUCGUAGAUAUCCGGAGGAACACCAGUGGCGAAGGCGGCUUCCUGGACAGUAACUGACGCUGAGACGCGAAAGCGUGGGGAGCAAACAGGAUUAGAAACCCCGUAGUCC
Molecule: ribosomal RNA, 449 nt
Filed under: uncultured bacterium
Lineage: Bacteria
Description: partial 16S ribosomal RNA
Rfam family: Bacterial small subunit ribosomal RNA
Source: RNAcentral